UUAAAAGCGAUGAAAGGAACUAGUAACUUAUUCUUUUUAUUCAAGAGAGCCGAUGGCUGGUGUGAAUCGGUAUAAAAAAUAAGUGAAUCCAUCCUUGAGUAGUAUACGGAAAAAGAAGUAUACUCGGUGAUAAACCGUUAUCCAAAACGAAGCCGGGAGAAGUCUAUUCUCCAAUCAGGGUGGUAUCGCGGGAAAACUCUCGUCCCUACU
Molecule: non-coding RNA, 210 nt
Filed under: Gracilibacillus kekensis
Lineage: Bacteria; Bacillati; Bacillota; Bacilli; Caryophanales; Bacillaceae
Description: T-box sequence
Rfam family: T-box leader
About the family: Uncharged tRNA acts as the effector for transcription antitermination of genes in the T-box leader family. T-boxes are found upstream of many aminoacyl-tRNA synthetase genes and some amino acid biosynthetic genes usually in Gram-positive bacteria.
Source: RNAcentral